CAGUCGCCACGGUAAUACGGAGGGAGCUAGCGUUGUUCGGAAUCACUGGGCGUAAAGCGCACGUAGGCGGCUAUUCAAGUCAGGGGUGAAAGCCCGGGGCUCAACCCCGGAACUGCCUUUGAAACUAGAUAGCUUGAAUCUUGGAGAGGCGAGUGGAAUUCCGAGUGUAGAGGUGAAAUUCGUAGAUAUUCGGAAGAACACCAGUGGCGAAGGCGACUCGCUGGACAAGUAUUGACGCUGAGGUGCGAAAGCGUGGGGAGCAAACAAGAUUAGAUACCCCCGUAGUCCCUGUCUCUUAUAC
Molecule: ribosomal RNA, 301 nt
Filed under: uncultured bacterium
Lineage: Bacteria
Description: partial 16S ribosomal RNA
Rfam family: Bacterial small subunit ribosomal RNA
Source: RNAcentral